AACGAACGCUGGCGGCGUGCCUAAUACAUGCAAGUCGAACGAGAUAGUACCUUCGGGUAUGUGUAAGUGGCAAACGGGUGAGUAAUACUUAGGUAACCUACCUUCUUGAUGGGGAUAACCUUCCGAAAGGAGGGCUAUACCGAAUGAGACCACAGGGACCACGGUCCAAGGGGUUAAGAUGGCCUCUAUUUAUAAGCUAUCGCAGGAAGAUGGGCUUAAGCACCAUCAG
Molecule: ribosomal RNA, 229 nt
Filed under: uncultured bacterium
Lineage: Bacteria
Description: partial 16S ribosomal RNA
Rfam family: Bacterial small subunit ribosomal RNA
Source: RNAcentral